Molecule: ribosomal RNA, 497 nt
Filed under: uncultured bacterium
Lineage: Bacteria
Description: partial 16S ribosomal RNA
Rfam family: Bacterial small subunit ribosomal RNA
Source: RNAcentral
GAUGAACGUUGGAGGCGUGCCUAAUACAUGCAAGUCGAGCGAACAGACGAGGAGCUUGCUCCUCUGACGUUAGCGGCGGACGGGUGAGUAACACGUGGAUAACCUACCUAUAAGACUGGGAUAACUUCGGGAAACCGGAGCUAAUACCGGAUAAUAUAUUGAACCGCAUGGUUCAAUAGUGAAAGACGGUUUUGCUGUCACUUAUAGAUGGAUCCGCGCCGCAUUAGCUAGUUGGUAAGGUAACGGCUUACCAAGGCAACGAUGCGUAGCCGACCUGAGAGGGUGAUCGGCCACACUGGAACUGAGACACGGUCCAGACUCCUACGGGAGGCAGCAGUAGGGAAUCUUCCGCAAUGGGCGAAAGCCUGACGGAGCAACGCCGCGUGAGUGAUGAAGGUCUUCGGAUCGUAAAACUCUGUUAUUAGGGAAGAACAAAUGUGUAAGUAACUAUGCACGUCUUGACGGUACCUAAUCAGAAAGCCACGGCUAACUACGUG